GACGUAGGGCGCGAGCGUUGUCCGGAUUUAUUGGGCGUAAAGAGCUCGUAGGCGGUGUGUCGCGUCGGCCGUGAAAACCUGCAGCUUAACUGUGGGCUUGCGGUCGAUACGGGCAUCACUGGAGUUCGGCAGGGGAGACUGGAAUUCCUGGUGUAGCGGUGAAAUGCGCAGAUAUCAGGAGGAACACCGAUGGCGAAGGCAGGUCUCUGGGCAUUAACUGACGCUGAGGAGCGAAAGCAUGGGGAGCGAACAGG
This 254-nucleotide ribosomal RNA is filed under the name uncultured bacterium. RNAcentral describes it as "partial 16S ribosomal RNA". It matches the Rfam family "Bacterial small subunit ribosomal RNA", at positions 524 to 776 of the family's 1533-position model. The record is from RNAcentral.